GCUACAAGCCGUGCUAUCGUUUCCGACAAACUUGUCGGGGAAGGAAAGUCCGGACAGCGCAGAGCAAUGCACCCUGUGAAUAGCAGGGGUCCCGACUCGCUCGGGAACAGAGAGUGCCACAGAAAAUAACCUCGACCUACCCCUGUAUUUCUUCCCAGGAGGGGAUAAAGGGGUGGGUUGAAAGGGUGAAAACGUGAGGUAAGAGCUCACGACAUUUGAUGGUAACAUCAUUUGUGGGUAAACCUUGCAUGCUGAAAUGCCACGUAUAUCCCGAAUCAUUCAACAGCUGAAUUUUUAUUGGCAGUUGAAUGAGGUAAGCUGCUCGUUUACUACCAUCGGCUGAUGUUUUCGGGAAGGGUAGGCAGAUGGAUCCCGAUGAGUAAUUGUCGGGACAGAUAAAUGAUAGCACCCUGCGUUUAUUCGAGGGGACAGAAUCCGGCUUACAGGCUUGUAGCGUUU
Molecule: RNase P RNA, 459 nt
Filed under: Bacteroidota bacterium
Lineage: Bacteria; Pseudomonadati; Bacteroidota
Description: Bacteroidetes bacterium RNase P RNA component class A
Rfam family: Bacterial RNase P class A
About the family: Ribonuclease P (RNase P) is a ubiquitous endoribonuclease, found in archaea, bacteria and eukarya as well as chloroplasts and mitochondria. Its best characterised activity is the generation of mature 5'-ends of tRNAs by cleaving the 5'-leader elements of precursor-tRNAs.
Source: RNAcentral